This 154-nucleotide unclassified non-coding RNA is filed under the name uncultured Phaeosphaeriaceae. RNAcentral describes it as "sequence contains ITS2". The record is from RNAcentral. Lineage: Eukaryota; Fungi; Ascomycota; Dothideomycetes; Pleosporales; Phaeosphaeriaceae.
GUACCCUCAAGCUCUGCUUGGUGUUGGGUGUUUGUCCUCUCCUCUGCGUUUGGACUCGCCUUAAAGCAAUUGGCAGCCAGUGUUUUGGUAUUGAAGCGCAGCACAUUUUGCGACUCUAGCCUAUAAUACUUGCGUCCAUAAGCCUAUUUUCAAC